This is a long non-coding RNA of Peromyscus californicus insignis, 1037 nucleotides long. RefSeq lists it as uncharacterized. Lineage: Eukaryota; Metazoa; Chordata; Mammalia; Rodentia; Cricetidae. The transcript is spliced from 3 exons. The record is from RefSeq and is a predicted model, not a curated record.
AGCCGGUGUGGUGACGCGCAGAGUGGGACCUGGGAGAUGGGCAGGGGCGGGGCAGCUGGACGAGUGUAAGGGGCCCGGGGGCUGCUCCAGCUGUGCCCAGAGCCUCCCAGACCCCGAUUGUGAAGCCCGGGUCUAUGUGAGGGCAACACUCCCCAGACUGUAAGUCCGGCUCCCAUGUUCCGGUUCUCAUCUCCAGACCCCAACCUCUAAACCCCAGGGCCAGUUUACCUGCCUGCCCAAUGGAGUGGGCCUCACAGCCUAGAAAGGGAAACUGAGGCCGGGGAAAGCAGCUGGGGGCAGGGUAGGGGUGUACCAUACACUCAAAACUGGAUGGAGUUUGGUGGUGCACGCUUUAAUCCCAGCACUGGAGAGGCAGAGGCAGGGGACCUCUGUGGUUCCAGGACAGUCAGGACUACAUCAAAGAGACCUUGUCUGUAAAACAAAGGAGACCGGAACAAAGGCACAAGCGUGGAGCACUGUGCCUCCAAGAGCAGGCUGAGGUCCAGCUUCCCGGAGGAAGGCGUGCUGGUGCAUGCAGGAGCCCCUGCAGUUCCUCGGCAGGCUCAGGCGGACGGAGUUGGCAUGGGCUUUGAAGACUCUGGUAUCCCUGGACCAUGGAUGACCCAGGAUGGUCCUGAAGGUCCCGCGACCCCGGAGGACAGCUCUGGACACCUGGACUCAGGUCGUCACAGAACACACUGACACUGGACACCUAGUGGGGUACACCUGACAUUAGGACAAGCCACCUUCUGAAGACAGCCGCAGCGGACCACAGGGGAAGGCACGGGACGCAUGGGGGACGCAUGGGGCGGGUGGCCCAACUCUCCUGGGGGAGUGUCUCCGUGAUGUGAGAGCUGACUUCCAACAAUAGCCCGAUCUAGUGAUCCCUGAGCAUUCCUUCAUGCCCUCACCUUCCUUUUAAAGAGCUUUUGCGGGCGGUGGUGGCACACGCCUUUAAUCCCAGCACUCGGGAGGCAGAGCCAGGAGGAUCUCUGUGAGUUCGAGGCCAGCCUGGACUACAAAGUGAGUUCCAGGAA